This 589-nucleotide ribosomal RNA is filed under the name uncultured Gammaproteobacteria bacterium. Its description in RNAcentral is "bacterial SSU rRNA". It matches the Rfam family "Bacterial small subunit ribosomal RNA", at positions 8 to 592 of the family's 1533-position model. The record is from RNAcentral. Lineage: Bacteria; Pseudomonadati; Pseudomonadota; Gammaproteobacteria.
AGAGUUUGAUCAUGGCUCAGAUUGAACGCUGGCGGCAGGCCUAACACAUGCAAGUCGAGCGGAUGAUGGGAGCUUGCUCCCGGAUUCAGCGGCGGACGGGUGAGUAAUGCCUAGGAAUCUGCCUGGUAGUGGGGGACAACGUUUCGAAAGGAACGCUAAUACCGCAUACGUCCUACGGGAGAAAGCAGGGGACCUUCGGGCCUUGCGCUAUCAGAUGAGCCUAGGUCGGAUUAGCUAGUUGGUGGGGUAAAGGCCUACCAAGGCGACGAUCCGUAACUGGUCUGAGAGGAUGAUCAGUCACACUGGAACUGAGACACGGUCCAGACUCCUACGGGAGGCAGCAGUGGGGAAUAUUGGACAAUGGGCGAAAGCCUGAUCCAGCCAUGCCGCGUGUGUGAAGAAGGUCUUCGGAUUGUAAAGCACUUUAAGUUGGGAGGAAGGGCAGUAAGUUAAUACCUUGCUGUUUUGACGUUACCAACAGAAUAAGCACCGGCUAACUUCGUGCCAGCAGCCGCGGUAAUACGAAGGGUGCAAGCGUUAAUCGGAAUUACUGGGCGUAAAGCGCGCGUAGGUGGUUUGGUAAGAUGGA